AAAUAUCUAUCGGAAUAUGGAGAGGUUACUGCUAGAGUUUCAUGCCAACCCAACAGCAGAUGGUGGAGAUCAGAGCUAUGGGAUUUCAAAUAUAAAGGUGAGAGUUUGGUGGUUUUGAACUAACUUUUUGGAGAUCCAAACCAAUAGGUAGAGAGAGGAGAGGAAGCGAAAGAGAUUGACAACAUUCGAUCGGUGAAAGAACGACUUUAACGGUGGCGAUGAAAACAACAGCGUUUGGUAGAUUGCCUCCGCUUUGGUGGUUUGUUGGUG
This 270-nucleotide long non-coding RNA is filed under the name Gossypium barbadense (sea-island cotton). Its description in RNAcentral is "long non-coding RNA (GBAR_LNC019525)". Lineage: Eukaryota; Viridiplantae; Streptophyta; Magnoliopsida; Malvales; Malvaceae. The record is from RNAcentral.